RNAcentral lists this ribosomal RNA (479 nucleotides) under uncultured bacterium. RNAcentral describes it as "bacterial SSU rRNA". It matches the Rfam family "Bacterial small subunit ribosomal RNA", at positions 22 to 518 of the family's 1533-position model. The record is from RNAcentral.
GGUCAGGACGAACGCUGGCGGCGUGCCUAACACAUGCAAGUCGAGCGAGGAGAUUCCUCGGGAUGAUCCUAGCGGCGGACGGGUGAGUAACACGUGGGCAACCUGCCUCAUAGAGAGGAAUAGCCUUCCGAAAGGGAGAUUAAUACCUCAUAACAUUGCAGUUUCGCAUGGAACAGCAAUUAAAGGAGCAAUCCGCUAUGAGAUGGGCCCGCGGCGCAUUAGCUAGUUGGUGAGGUAACGGCUCACCAAGGCGACGAUGCGUAGCCGACCUGAGAGGGUGAUCGGCCACAUUGGGACUGAGACACGGCCCAGACUCCUACGGGAGGCAGCAGUGGGGAAUAUUGCACAAUGGGGGAAACCCUGAUGCAGCCAACGCCGCGUGAGUGAUGACGGCCUUCGGGUUGUAAAGCUCUGUCUUCAGGGACGAUAAUGACGGUACCUGAGGAGGAAGCCACGGCUAACUACGUGCCAGCAGCAGC